AACGAACGCUGGCGGCAUGCCUAACACAUGCAAGUCGAACGAGACCUUCGGGUCUAGUGGCGCACGGUUGCGUAACGCGUGGGAACCUGCCCUUAGGUUCGGAAUAACUCCCCGAAAGGGGUGCUAAUACCGGAUAAUGUCUUCGGACCAAAGAUUUAUCGCCUUUGGAUGUGCCCGCGUUGGAUUAGCUAGUUGGUAGGGUAAAAGCCUACCAAGGCGACGAUCCAUAGCUGGUCUGAGAGGAUGAUCAGCCACACUGGGACUGAGACACGGCCCAGACUCCUACGGGAGGCAGCAGUGGGGAAUAUUGGAAAAUGGGCGAAAGCAUGAUCCAGCAAUGCCGCGUGAGUGAUGAAGGCCUUAGGGUUGUAAAGCUAUUUUACCCGGGAUGAUAAUGACAGUACCGGGAGAAUAAGCUCCGGCUAACUCCGUG
RNAcentral lists this ribosomal RNA (433 nucleotides) under uncultured bacterium. RNAcentral's name for it is "partial 16S ribosomal RNA". It matches the Rfam family "Bacterial small subunit ribosomal RNA", at positions 29 to 507 of the family's 1533-position model. The record is from RNAcentral.